Molecule: ribosomal RNA, 407 nt
Filed under: uncultured cyanobacterium
Lineage: Bacteria; Bacillati; Cyanobacteriota
Description: bacterial SSU rRNA
Rfam family: Bacterial small subunit ribosomal RNA
Source: RNAcentral
GACGGCCUAAUGCUUGUAACCCCUUUUCUCUGGGAAGAAGACUGACGGUACCAGAGGAAUCAGCCUCGGCUAACUCCGGUGCCAAGCAGCCGCGGUAAUACGGGAGGAGGCAAGCGUUAUCCGGAAUUAUUGGGCGUAAAGCGUCCGUAGGUGGUUAUUCAAGUCUGCUGUCAAAGCGUGGGGCUUUAACUCCAUAGAGGCAGUGGAAACUGAGUGACUAGAGUGCGGUAGGGGUCGAGGGAAUUCCCAGUGUAGCGGUGAAAUGCGUAGAUAUUGGGAAGAACACCAGUGGCGAAAGCGCUCGACUGGGCCUGCACUGACACUGAGGGACGAAAGCUAGGGGAGCGAAAGGGAUUAGAUACCCCUGUAGUCCUAGCCGUAAACGAUGGAUACUAGGUGUUGCUCGU